Non-coding RNA from Pantherophis guttatus, 1652 nucleotides. The record is from RefSeq and is a predicted model, not a curated record. NCBI's taxonomy places the organism in Eukaryota, Metazoa, Chordata, Lepidosauria, Squamata, Colubridae.
AUGAUAAGUUAUUAAUUUAAAUAACUGCUUUCUUCUGGCCAUUCUCUUAGAAUAUGCACGAUUCUAUUAUUAUAGCCAAUAUUGAUAAAAGUAGUUUUAGCUUUGCUGUGGAGUGGAUUUUCUGAUCUGGUCUGCCUGGUGGGAUUAACGUCGAUUUUGCAAGUCUCUUUGCACUAUCCCUCCACUCACUCUUGUACACCAGUGAGUUAGGGAGACAUUCACCUGAGUUGCUUUCAGAUGUUAUCUCAUUGUUCUGGACUUAAAAAAAAAUAUUUCAGCCCCUCUUGUCUGGAUAAUGAUUCCUACAGAUCUCCAUUUGAAUACUCUACCUCUCAAGUAAAUGUCUUAAAUUACAGGAAGAGAGAUUCUAGCUGAAUACUAGGAAAACAUCUUAACAGUAAGAAUAACUUGAGAAGGGACUUAGUCAUCACAUCUUGUUGAUGGAUCCAAAUAGAGGCUGGAUAACCAUCUAUCAAUGAUUUUUGAUUUGACUGUUUUGGCCAGAGCUUGAAUCAUCUCAGCAAAGAUAUGUCACUCCACUCUAUAAAUUUUCUUCUUCUCUGUCAUUGGGAACUACUGCUGGAUGUUUCUCUUGGUGAUAAUUCAGAUGCAAGAUAUACUUUAUGGGAUAUGUCAAAAGCUCACAAAAAGAAUGAUGCCUUUCUUUGUCCUUAUGUGAUCACUAAACUGAUUCUCAGUUCUGCAUUAAAAAAAUAGAACUGUAAAUUCAAGUGUGUGUGUGUGUGUGUGUGUGAGAGAGAGAGAGAGAGAGAGAGAGAGAGAGAGAGAGAGAGAGAGAUCAAUUUUCUGCCAUUAGACAUAAAUUCCUUCAUGGCAUUCUACCCUAAAAUGAUUACAGCUCCAAUGGUACAAAGGCUAGCCAAUAGUAGGCAAUUACACCUUACCUUUCUUUUCAUUACAAGAAUAGUAGGAGAGUAAAUUUUAUCUGCAAUGCCCAGUUGGGAGUAAGUUUGCUAGAAGCAGUAAACUAAUGCAAACAACUUCUCAGAAGAGCUGGCCUUUGUUUUCUUUGCUCUUUGCUUUAGAUCAUGCAUGUUCCUGGGCAGCUCAUUGCUUUUACAAACGGAGAGGUCAUUGUUAUCAACAAGUAAAUUUACCAGAAUGCCAGGUAGAAAAGCUCAGAUCAAUUUUGUUAAUUAACCCCCCCCCCCAGGGAUUAGAUCUUUGUUGAUAUUCAUAAAGCUGUUUCAAUUUAUAAAAGCAAACAUUGUAAAAUACACAUUAGUUGUUUGUUUUUUGCAAUUCAGUUUAGAAUAUAUUUGUAAAAGCAACAAAAAGCAGUUAUUUUACUGAGGAAAUACAGCAGUAUUUGGAGUGUUUUAGCUUUGGAUAAAGCCAUUAUGGAAGUAUUUUAAGUUAAUUGUGGGAUAUUAUCAGCUCUGAGCUGAAGAAGCUUCUUGGAUAAGAAAUGAAAUGUCUUCAAAGAAAAACAGAAAGUCCACUUGCCUCUUGAAACAGCAACUUUGGGACAACCAUGACCUGGAUGACUGAGGAUCUCCAUAGACAUUUAGGUUUGAACCUUCUGAAGUUAGAAGACCUCGAGGAGGAGCCAAAUAUUUCAUGGGAGAGAAGAAGAGGAGAUCAUCGACUGACUAAAUAAGUAAAUAUUUUUAUGUUAUAAUGUACUGUAU